Molecule: ribosomal RNA, 520 nt
Filed under: uncultured Scutellospora
Lineage: Eukaryota; Fungi; Glomeromycota; Glomeromycetes; Diversisporales; Gigasporaceae
Description: SSU rRNA
Rfam family: Eukaryotic small subunit ribosomal RNA
Source: RNAcentral
AGCAGCCGCGGUAAUUCCAGCUCCAAUAGCGUAUAUUAAAGUUGUUGCAGUUAAAAAGCUCGUAGUUGAAUUUCGGGAUUCUACCGUUGGUCGGGCUAUUGUCUGUACUGGCGUGUAGAAUUUCUACCUUCUGGGGAACUAUCAUGUUAUUAAUUUAGCGUGGUAGGAAACCAGGACCUUUACCUUGAAAAAAUUAGAGUGUUCAAAGCAGGCUUAUGUCUGAAUACAUUAGCAUGGAAUAAUAAAAUAGGACGGUGGUCCUGUUUUGUUGGUUUCUGAAUCACCGUAAUGAUUAAUAGGGAUAGUUGGGGGCAUUAGUAUUCAAUUGUCAGAGGUGAAAUUCUUGGAUUUAUUGAAGACUAACUACUGCGAAAGCAUUUGCCAAGGAUGUUUUCAUUAAUCAAGAACGAAAGUUAGGGGAUCGAAGACGAUCAGAUACCGUCGUAGUCUUAACCAUAAACUAUGCCGACUAGGGAUCGGACGAUGUUAACUUUUCUUGACUCGUUCGGCGCCUUACGGG